GCAGAUAUCACCUUAUCCGGGAUCCUCAUAUGGAUAACUGCGGAAAUACUGGAGCUAAUACAUGCAACUAUACCCCAACGCAAGGCGGGGUGCAAUUAUUAGAACAGACCAAACGUUUUCGGACGUUGUUUGUUGACUCUGAAUAAAGCAGUUUACUGUCAGUUUCGACUGACUCUAUCCGGAAAGGGUGUCUGCCCUUUCAACUAGAUGGUAGUUUAUUGGACUACCAUGGUUGUUACGGGUAACGGAGAAUAAGGGUUCGACUCCGGAGAGGGAGCCUUAGAAACGGCUACCACGUCCAAGGAAGGCAGCAGGCGCGAAACUUAUCCACUGUUGAGUAUGAGAUAGUGACUAAAAAUAUAAAGACUCAUCCUUUUGGAUGAGUUAUUUCAAUGAGUUGAAUACAAAUGAUUCUUCGAGUAGCAAGGAGAGGGCAAGUCUGGUGCCAGCAGCCGCGGUAAUUCCAGCUCUCCUAGUGUAUCUCGUUAUUGCUGCGGUUAAAAAGCUCGUAGUUGGAUCUAGGUUACGUGCCGCAGUUCGCAAUUUGCGUCA
This 552-nucleotide ribosomal RNA is filed under the name Caenorhabditis elegans. RNAcentral's name for it is "SSU rRNA". It matches the Rfam family "Eukaryotic small subunit ribosomal RNA", at positions 106 to 673 of the family's 1831-position model. The record is from RNAcentral. Lineage: Eukaryota; Metazoa; Nematoda; Chromadorea; Rhabditida; Rhabditidae.